CAAAGGGAGCAGAUUGUAAAUCUGCCGGCACUGCCUUCGAAGGUUCGAAUCCUUCCCCCACCA
Photobacterium iliopiscarium is the source of this 63-nucleotide non-coding RNA. Lineage: Bacteria; Pseudomonadati; Pseudomonadota; Gammaproteobacteria; Vibrionales; Vibrionaceae. The record is from Rfam.